GCUAGCGGCAGCUUAACACAUGCAAGUCGAACGGUAACUCUUGGUGCUUGCACCAAAAGACGAGUGGCGGACGGGUGCGUAACGCGUAUGCAAUCUACCUUUUACUAGGGUAUAGCCCAGAGAAAUUUGGAUUAAUCCCCUAUAAUAUCAUGAAAUCGCAUGAUUUUAUGAUUAAAGCUUCGGUGGUAAAAGAUGAGCAUGCGUCCUAUUAGUUUGUAGGUGAGGUAACGGCUCACCUAGACUACGAUAGGUAGGGGCCCUGAGAGGGGGAUCCCCCACACUGGUACUGAGACACGGACCAGACUCCUACGGGAGGCAGCAGUGAGGAAUAUUGGACAAUGGACGAAAGUCUGAUCCAGCUAUGCCGCGUGCAGGAUGACAGCCCUACGGGUUGUAAACUGCUUUUAUACAGGAAGAAAAACUCCGACGUGUCGGGGCUUGACGGUACUGUAAGAAUAAGGAUCGGCUAACUCCGUGCCAGCAGCCGCGGUAAUACGGAGGAUCCAAGCGUUAUCCGGAAUUAUUGGGUUUAAAGGGUCCGCAGGCGGUUUUUUUAAGUCAGAGGUGAAAUCCUACAGCUCAACUGUAGAAUUGCCUUUGAAACUGAAAGACUUGAGUUAUUGUGAAGUGGUUAGAAUGUGUGGUGUAGCGGUGAAAUGCAUAGAUAUCACACAGAAUACCAAUUGCGAAGGCAGAUCACUAACAAUUAACUGACGCUCAGGGACGAAAGCGUGGGUAGCGAACAGGAUUAGAUACCCUGGUAGUCCACGCCGUAAACGAUGGAUACUAGCUGUAUGUCUACCUCAGGUAGAUGUGUGGCCAAGCGAAAGUGAUAAGUAUCCCACCUGGGGAGUACGA
Molecule: ribosomal RNA, 858 nt
Filed under: uncultured Flavobacteriaceae bacterium
Lineage: Bacteria; Pseudomonadati; Bacteroidota; Flavobacteriia; Flavobacteriales; Flavobacteriaceae
Description: bacterial SSU rRNA
Rfam family: Bacterial small subunit ribosomal RNA
Source: RNAcentral